GAUGAAGAACGCAGCGAAAUGUGAUAAGUAGUGUGAAUUGCAGAAUUCCGUGAAUCAUCGAAUCUUUGAACGCACAUUGCGCCUUCUGGUAUUCCGGAAGGCAUGCCUGUUCGAGAGUCAUUAACAACCGUUUCGAUCCCUUUCUUUCAGAAAUUACAAAGAGGAAAAGGGUUUGGUUAUGGUGGAGGAGGGAAAGGGAGCGUUUAGCCUGUAAAAAAAGAGGCUGUGUUCCGCCUCCCCCCCAAAAUUGUACAGGCGGUCGUGUGCGCCCACGCAUCGAGGUGUUGUAAAAGCUGCCACGGCACUUUUCACCUGUGCAGUGCGAGAUUGGCCAGCCGGUUUAAAAACCCCUCCAAACAAUCAAAGGUUGACCUCGGAUCAGGCAGGGAUACCCGCUGAACUUAAGCAUAUCAAUAAGCGGAGGA
This 425-nucleotide unclassified non-coding RNA is filed under the name soil metagenome. RNAcentral describes it as "partial contains 5.8S ribosomal RNA, internal transcribed spacer 2, and large subunit ribosomal RNA". The stretch from base 1 to 120 matches the Rfam family "5.8S ribosomal RNA", at positions 35 to 154 of the family's 154-position model. The record is from RNAcentral.